This is a non-coding RNA of Schizosaccharomyces pombe (fission yeast), 592 nucleotides long. Lineage: Eukaryota; Fungi; Ascomycota; Schizosaccharomycetes; Schizosaccharomycetales; Schizosaccharomycetaceae. The record is from the annotation of a GenBank genome assembly.
AAGCAACCAUUUCUAUCCAAAUAAAACAAAUUUCGAAGCUCGGGAUCAUAGGUGAGAGUUACAGGAGUCGGACUAAAAAGCUGGACCAAAGCGGUAAACAGAAUACCGGCGAAUGAUUUUGUAAAAGCAAUAUAUUUGUUAUAAAGCUCCUUGUUGACAAAAUACAGAGGAGUUCCAAUAACUUCCGAGGUAUAAAUGGUAACUGAACCAACAGCCAAACAUAAUAUGAAUGAAUACUUGCGAAUCGCAAUUCUGCAUGUCAUGUUGUCAAACCUAAAUGAAUUAAAGGAACCUAAAUCAAAUCUCAAGAAAUAAAAGACUGUUAAAUAGAAUCCAGAGAAAGUUAGCAAAGUCGGUUUUAGUGAUGCCCUUUCGCGUUUCUCACCGCACAGUAAAAGUCGUACACGAACACUAAAUAGACACCAAUUUGAGCAAAAAAAAUCCCAAAAAGAAAAUUAAAAGCUCUCUGCUUUCUUUUUAAUUUCUUAGCCGCACGUUUAGCACCAAAGUGUAAUUCAGGGAAUGUCAGUGGUUAUAGGCAGUGGGUAAAGAAGUAGCGAUCGUACGUUGUCAAUUUGUAAAAGUGCUCGGA